This 587-nucleotide ribosomal RNA is filed under the name Listeria monocytogenes. RNAcentral's name for it is "bacterial SSU rRNA". It matches the Rfam family "Bacterial small subunit ribosomal RNA", at positions 1 to 569 of the family's 1533-position model. The record is from RNAcentral. Lineage: Bacteria; Bacillati; Bacillota; Bacilli; Caryophanales; Listeriaceae.
UUUAAAGAGAGUUUGAUCCUGGCUCAGGACGAACGCUGGCGGCGUGCCUAAUACAUGCAAGUCGAACGAACGGAGGAAGAGCUUGCUCUUCCAAAGUUAGUGGCGGACGGGUGAGUAACACGUGGGCAACCUGCCUGUAAGUUGGGGAUAACUCCGGGAAACCGGGGCUAAUACCGAAUGAUAGAAUGUGGCGCAUGCCACGCUUUUGAAAGAUGGUUUCGGCUAUCGCUUACAGAUGGGCCCGCGGUGCAUUAGCUAGUUGGUAGGGUAAUGGCCUACCAAGGCAACGAUGCAUAGCCGACCUGAGAGGGUGAUCGGCCACACUGGGACUGAGACACGGCCCAGACUCCUACGGGAGGCAGCAGUAGGGAAUCUUCCGCAAUGGACGAAAGUCUGACGGAGCAACGCCGCGUGUAUGAAGAAGGUUUUCGGAUCGUAAAGUACUGUUGUUAGAGAAGAACAAGGAUAAGAGUAACUGCUUGUCCCUUGACGGUAUCUAACCAGAAAGCCACGGCUAACUACGUGCCAGCAGCCGCGGUAAUACGUAGGUGGCAAGCGUUGUCCGGAUUUAUUGGGCGUAAAGCGCG